UAGGAGCUUAUCAGAGUCACUCUCC
RNAcentral lists this non-coding RNA (25 nucleotides) under Mus musculus (house mouse). The record is from RNAcentral. Lineage: Eukaryota; Metazoa; Chordata; Mammalia; Rodentia; Muridae.